CAAAUAUACCCAUCAUAUAUAUCUCUGUCAUUUUUUAAUAACCACCCGCUAAUUAUCUUGGAUUAAACCCAAAUUAAAUUUCUAUUCGAGUUAAAAUAAAAUUAAAAUAUCUCUUUUGUCUCUAAUUUAAGAAUAAAUAAAAAAAAUUUGGUGACGGUAGAAGGAUGUAUUUUAAAAAAUAAAAUAAUAGUUUCACAGAAAUAACAAAUGUUUUAAAUAGUUUACCAAUCGAAUUUAACUUUAUAAAUAUAUUUGAAAUAAGUUAAAAUAUUAAAAGAAUAUAUUUAAUAGUAAUCUUCUAAAAAAAAAAAAUACAAAAGUUGAAAACUUUUCAAAAAUAUAUAAUAAGCAAUUGACCCUAUAAAAAAAAUUUAAGAGCCAAGUACGGGCGUGUGUCCCCAACUCUCGCUUGACCCCCUUGCAUCGAGAAAGUUUACUAUAUCACAUUUGAACCAUAUCAUCAAUAACAAGCUAAUCAUAUCUCUUCAUUUUAAAAAAAAUAUAACAAAAAUGUUUUUAUAAUUAUGAUGGAAUAAAUAAAUUUUUUAAAAAAUAUUUGAUGAAUAUCACGUCAUUUUUUUUUAAAAAAGUAGGUAGCACGCUACUCGCUUCAUUUAUUUCAUUUAGAAAUAAAUUUAGCUAGAAAUGUGAAUCAACUAGGAUUCAAAUUUGGGUCUCGAGUAUCAAUUAUUAAAUCCUUUGCCACUUACUCUAGAAACGGUCGGUAUAUCACGUCAUUAAUAUAACCGAUAU
RNAcentral lists this long non-coding RNA (753 nucleotides) under Ananas comosus (pineapple). Its description in RNAcentral is "long non-coding RNA (ACOM_LNC011123)". Lineage: Eukaryota; Viridiplantae; Streptophyta; Magnoliopsida; Poales; Bromeliaceae. The record is from RNAcentral.